This 664-nucleotide ribosomal RNA is filed under the name Sporosarcina aquimarina. Its description in RNAcentral is "bacterial SSU rRNA". It matches the Rfam family "Bacterial small subunit ribosomal RNA", at positions 34 to 683 of the family's 1533-position model. The record is from RNAcentral. Lineage: Bacteria; Bacillati; Bacillota; Bacilli; Caryophanales; Caryophanaceae.
AGCUGGCGGCUGCCUAUCAUGCAAGUCGUAGCGAAUCAAUUGGAGCUUGCUCCUUUUGAUUAGCGGCGGACGGGUGAGUAACACGUGGGCAACCUGCCCUGCAGAUGGGGAUAACUCCGGGAAACCGGGGCUAAUACCGAAUAAUCAGUUCCUUCGCAUGAAGGAACUCUGAAAGACGGUUUCGGCUGUCACUGCAGGAUGGGCCCGCGGCGCAUUAGCUAGUUGGUGGGGUAAUGGCCUACCAAGGCAACGAUGCGUAGCCGACCUGAGAGGGUGAUCGGCCACACUGGGACUGAGACACGGCCCAGACUCCUACGGGAGGCAGCAGUAGGGAAUCUUCCACAAUGGACGAAAGUCUGAUGGAGCAAUGCCGCGUGAGUGAAGAAGGUUUUCGGAUCGUAAAGCUCUGUUGCGAGGGAAGAACACGUACGGGAGUAACUGCCCGUACCUUGACGGUACCUCGUCAGAAAGCCACGGCUAACUACGUGCCAGCAGCCGCGGUAAUACGUAGGUGGCAAGCGUUGUCCGGAAUUAUUGGGCGUAAAGCGCGCGCAGGCGGUCCUUUAAGUCUGAUGUGAAAGCCCACGGCUCAACCGUGGAGGGUCAUUGGAAACUGGGGGACUUGAGUACAGAAGAGGAAAGCGGAAUUCCACGUGUAGCGGUG